This is a long non-coding RNA of Juglans microcarpa x Juglans regia, 124 nucleotides long. RefSeq lists it as uncharacterized. NCBI's taxonomy places the organism in Eukaryota, Viridiplantae, Streptophyta, Magnoliopsida, Fagales, Juglandaceae. The transcript has 4 exons. The record is from RefSeq and is a predicted model, not a curated record.
CUCUUCAAUCUGGACUAAUUUCGCACAAAAUUUGUUUGUGGCCUUUUGAAUAACCGACCACCAAUGUAUUAAAGACUUGAUGGUCCGGUCAUUUGUAGUUUCUUUAAAUUGCUAGAAGUAUUCA